AACGUCCUGCUCCCACCCCAGCCACCUGCUGGCUUGUUAAGAAGACUGCCUGGUGAGGUAUGUAACCAAGUGCUGUUACGGGAAUGUUUGAGCCUUUACGUUUAGCUACAUCACAUUUAUGCAUAAAUGCACCCAUCUUCAUAGCACAAGUAGCUGCUAAUAACCUCUGAACCCUAAAGCAUCCAAAGACACCACAAAACCCGUAUGGAUUUAUUGCUUUCUAACAGGA
This is a long non-coding RNA of Oxyura jamaicensis (ruddy duck), 229 nucleotides long. RefSeq lists it as uncharacterized. NCBI's taxonomy places the organism in Eukaryota, Metazoa, Chordata, Aves, Anseriformes, Anatidae. The transcript is spliced from 2 exons. The record is from RefSeq and is a predicted model, not a curated record.